AUUGAACGCUGGCGGCAUGCCUUACACAUGCAAGUCGAACGGCAGCAUAGGAGCUUGCUCCUGAUGGCGAGUGGCGAACGGGUGAGUAAUAUAUCGGAACGUGCCCUAGAGUGGGGGAUAACUAGUCGAAAGACUAGCUAAUACCGCAUACGAUCUACGGAUGAAAGUGGGGGAUCGCAAGACCUCAUGCUCCUGGAGCGGCCGAUAUCUGAUUAGCUAGUUGGUGGGGUAAAAGCCUACCAAGGCAACGAUCAGUAGCUGGUCUGAGAGGACGACCAGCCACACUGGGACUGAGACACGGCCCAGACUCCUACGGGAGGCAGCAGUGGGGAAUUUUGGACAAUGGGGGCAACCCUGAUCCAGCAAUGCCGCGUGAGUGAAGAAGGCCUUCGGGUUGUAAAGCUCUUUUGUCAGGGAAGAAACGGUAGUAGCGAAUAACUACUACUAAUGACGGUACCUGAAGAAUAAGCACUGGCUAACUACGUGCCAGCCGCCGCGGUAA
RNAcentral lists this ribosomal RNA (502 nucleotides) under uncultured bacterium. RNAcentral's name for it is "partial 16S ribosomal RNA". It matches the Rfam family "Bacterial small subunit ribosomal RNA", at positions 30 to 523 of the family's 1533-position model. The record is from RNAcentral.